AACGAACGCUGGCGGCAUGCCUAACACAUGCAAGUCGAACGAGACCUUCGGGUCUAGUGGCGCACGGGUGCGUAACGCGUGGGAAUCUGCCCUUGGGUUCGGAAUAACUCAGAGAAAUUUGAGCCAAUACCGGAUGAUGACGAAAGUCCAAAGAUUUAUCGCCCAGGGAUGAGCCCGCGUAAGAUUAGCUUGUUGGUGGGGUAAUGGCCUACCAAGGCGACGAUCUUUAGCUGGUCUGAGAGGAUGAUCAGCCACACUGGGACUGAGACACGGCCCAGACUCCUACGGGAGGCAGCAGUGGGGAAUAUUGGACAAUGGGCGCAAGCCUGAUCCAGCAAUGCCGCGUGAGUGAUGAAGGCCUUAGGGUUGUAAAGCUCUUUUACCAGGGAUGAUAAUGACAGUACCUGGAGAAUAAGCUCCGGCUAACUCCGUGCCAGCAGCCGCGGUAA
Molecule: ribosomal RNA, 449 nt
Filed under: uncultured bacterium
Lineage: Bacteria
Description: bacterial SSU rRNA
Rfam family: Bacterial small subunit ribosomal RNA
Source: RNAcentral